GACGGAGGGGGCUAGCGUUGUUCGGAAUGACUGGGCGUAAAGGGCGUGUAGGCUGUCAAUCAAGUCAGGCGUGAAAGCCUUGGGCUUAACCUGAGAACUGCGUUUGAUACUGAUUGACUUGAGGACGGGAGAGGAAAGCGGAAUUCCGAGUGUAGAGGUGAAAUUCGUAGAUAUUCGGAGGAACAUCAGAGGCGAAGGCGGCUUUCUGGCCCGUAUCUGACGCUGAGGCGAGAAAGCGUGGGUAGCAAACAGG
Molecule: ribosomal RNA, 253 nt
Filed under: uncultured bacterium
Lineage: Bacteria
Description: partial 16S ribosomal RNA
Rfam family: Bacterial small subunit ribosomal RNA
Source: RNAcentral